CCUACGGGUGGCAGCAGUGAGGAAUAUUGGUCAAUGGCCGCGAGCCUGAACCAGCCAAGUCGCGUGAAGGAUGACUGCCCUACGGUUUGUAAACUUCUUUUAUAAGGGAAUAAAGUUAGCCACGUGUGCAUAUUUGUAUGUACUUUAUGAAUAAGCAUCGGCUAACUCCGUGCCAGCAGCCGCGGUAAUACGGAGGAUGCGAGCGUUAUCCGGAUUUAUUGGGUUUAAAGGGUGCGUAGAUGGGUUGUUAAGUCAGUUGUGAAAGUUUGCGGCUCAACCGUAAAAUUGCAGUUGAAACUGGAAGACUUGAGUAUGGUUGAGGUAGGCGGAAUGCGUGGUGUAGCGGUGAAAUGCAUAGAUAUCACGCAGAACUCCGAUUGCGAAGGCAGCUUACUAAGCCGUAACUGACACUGAUGCACGAAAGCGUGGGGAUCAAACAGGAUUAGAUACCCUGGUAGUC
RNAcentral lists this ribosomal RNA (460 nucleotides) under uncultured bacterium. Its description in RNAcentral is "partial 16S ribosomal RNA". It matches the Rfam family "Bacterial small subunit ribosomal RNA", at positions 338 to 795 of the family's 1533-position model. The record is from RNAcentral.